GUUCUGAAAAUACAGCACUUCUGAUCAAUCAAACCGUAAAUAACCAAUACCUGUGGGUUCAGGAUACAUAAGACUGAACAAAGAAAGUAGUCUUCGUUCAUUUUAAGCUGUUACAGUAAAGAAGAGCUACAGAGCUGCUUCAUCACUCAUUUCUGCCAGUAAAUGUACUUGUCCCAGUUACUGGGUUGACGGUGGCUGGACUCACUAUCGGCUCACUGCCCUGCUGACUCAGCAAAACAGCAACUCACUUGCUCUGUUAUUGCCUUUCAUCCUGUGGUUUUAAUUAAUCGUGUCACUCGUUUCCUGUGCGGAAAGUAGAAUCUCCUCACUUUUGUUAAGACAGCGUAACUCCAUGCAACAACAUUCUCCAAAAACAUUUGACUUAUUUUGAAUUGAAAAUAGCUGUGCUGGAGUUUUGUUUUUAAACUUGUUUAAAAAGGGUCUUAUGUAAGUACUGGACAUGCAUUAAAACAGCGUUUAAAAGCACAACAGAGAGGAGUUAAAGUUCCGUAAUAAAAAUGAUCACAUUUAACAGAGGGAAAUUAAAGUGCAGUAGAGAAUGUACUCAAUCGUGUCAAUAAAUUUAGUUAUGGUGAUUCACAAGUAUCCAGGAAGCAGAAGCAAAAUAAUGGAAGCAGAGAGCAAACAGCAAAGCUUGGAAAUACCUUUCAGCUGAUAUCUCUCAGGUAGACUACAGGUCGGCGGAUAUUUAACAUUUCAGGUAUUUAGUUGAUGUUUCUUAGGACUUUAAAAUGAGCAAAAAAGCACUGGAAACACAAGGAACCACCAGGUGAGGAGGUCAAGAGUCACCCUGGUUUUAUUCACGAAACUGUAGACAGAUCACGUCAUAGAGACGUGCAGGCAAAACACAAACGCUAAAGCACAAGAUAAAGAGACUGGAUGUGAUACAGUGUCAAAAAGGUGACGAGGUGAUUUCUUAAACGUGCAAUAAUAGAUGGGGAGUGACAGGGUGGAAAGUUCAUUGCAACAUCAGCAGGAGAGGUUUCUAUAGUCGCAUUGUGUAACAUUUUAAUCAGUGUUUUGUACUGAUGUUUUCCACCAAACAGUGAGGGUGUGAGUCUCUGUGGUAAAAUAAUAAGUACAACGUAACCGCUGCCCGCAAAUAUCAAUCACGAAACUUUGCCCUCUGAGGAAGUAGUUGCUGAUUUACACUUGUAGAAUAAAAAACUAUAAACUAAUAUCUUUACAAAAACAUAAAGUCGUCAUGUGACCAAAAGGCUACUUGAAGCACUUCUGCCUGCUGGAUAAUUGAUUACUGUAAAUCAAUUCUGAAUUAUUGUUAAUGUAAAAAUAUAAAUUCUGUGAGGGACUAGGACCCAUAACAGGUCAUGCACUUCAAUAUAUAAUAUAUAAUAUAAUUUAAUGUUGUCAUUUAGUGACUUGUGGAAGCGUGUCGUGAGAAUAAGAUCUUAUUGUUUUACUAAACUUGGUUUAGGGCUGCAACUAACGAUUCAUCUGCCGAUUAUUUAUUCAGUUAAUCGAUUCAUUGUCUACGAAACAUCGACAAAUUGUGAAAAUGUGUCCGUCACAGCUUCACAGAGCAGAAGCUGACGUCUUCAAAAACCCAAAGAUAUUCGGCGUACUAUCAUACAUGACAAAGAAACGUUGCAGAUUAUUUUUCUGUCAAUCGAUUAAUCGACUAAUCGUUUCAGCUCUGAUUCUGUUUAAAUGAAUAAUUCUCUGCAAGUUUUAAUGAUAAACUAAGAAAAUGUGUCUUUUACGUGUUUGAGGAGACAUGUUAUCAUUUUACAUAAUUUCUAUGUCCAAAUUAAUGAAUCCAAGCAAGCUGUAAUUAAAAACGUUUUUGAGGUUUGUCUUAUGACAUGCAGUUAAAACGUUGCAUAUAUUUGCUAUAUUAUGAUAUAUUUUGACAUUGGAAAAAAAAAUCUAAUUAAUAUUCUAUUGAUUUCACUAUAUUAAAACCUCACAACCUAAAUAUUGUUGUAUUUAAGGAUAACCUGAAGUUUUUUAUGUAGGACAAGAAACUACACCACUACGUUUUACAACCAGCUGAAUAUGUUUUAAUAAAUGCAGCAUCAAGGCUGUUUAUUGCGUACAUGUUACAUUUUAAGCCUCCCUGUUGCUGCUGAUAAACUCUGUGGUGGUAUUAAAAAGAUGCAGCUGCCCCUCGUCAUCCAUCCCGAACACAGAGGAAAUAAAUGAUGAUCGCAGUAAGAAAACUGGGUCACAACUUGUGUUUUAGGCAGUGAGAUGUUGACAUACUGAACGUUAACUGUAUAACCAGGGAUGGUCGCAGGAUAAAACUCUAAUAUCCAGAGCAAAUGAAUAUUACAAGCUGAGUAUUUUGGCACCGCUGGAGGACUACUUUUUAUCACCUGUAAACAUUCACCGCCCACCAAUGCGUCGAACACAACAACUCAUCAGGAAACUGCAGUGUAAACACUAUGGGUUUUUAGGUUAACACUGUGUAAUGUGUGUUAACAACACUCCCUCUCCCAUAGUGACUGCACUGAAUACAAACUUGCCAGCAUGCAGCUCUGCUCUGGAUCAGGACUGAGAUGUCGAGUUCAGCUGGGAAAGAGUUUAUCAGCCGUGUUCAUCUGGACGUGCCGAGAGGAAGUGUGAAAGAAAUGUAUGGGUACCGUGAAAAGAAACGGAGGAGGAGUUACAAAAAUCCGAGGCAACAUGGACGUUAGCAAGGCACUAAUCUGGUCCAGUGCAGUUGUUCAGUUGUAAAGAGCAUCUUGACGGUGUGGCGAGAGGGAAGGGGCCAGGGUCCGUGCAGCCAGUCUGCUUUUUCGUUGAAAACAACGCGAUGAGAGUGAACCGGACAGAUAAACAAAGAGCUGAAACUCACUAUAAAGCUCCGUGAAGCCGAGAGGAGCUGCAGAUUCAGGUGAUGAUUCUCUCACAACUCUAAACCAGCUCCCUGAAUAAGUGAAGACUGACCAAAAAUAACCUAACAAGGAAAGAAUGUGCUUGUUCAACAGGAAGUGCUUAGGAUCCCCAAGAGAGAGGGGUUGUUGCAGCCGCUGCAGAACUGGUACCUGCACUGGGAGCAGCUGAAGUGCAUGCAGCCGCCUUUCGUCAGAGCGUACUGGAACCUGCAGUGAGGACAGGCUGCAAGAGGACACCACAUACUGGUAGCCGGCCAGGCCCUGCCUCUGGUACUCUGGAUCGUUCUCCCUCUUCCACUGCUGGAACUGCUCACAGGACAGAUCCUGGUGCUGAGGCUCCCACUGAGACCGGAGAGGGAGUGGAUGAGUGAGCACCUCCUGCACAGC
Siniperca chuatsi (mandarin fish) is the source of this 3266-nucleotide long non-coding RNA. RefSeq lists it as uncharacterized. The record is from RefSeq and is a predicted model, not a curated record. The transcript has 7 exons. Lineage: Eukaryota; Metazoa; Chordata; Actinopteri; Centrarchiformes; Sinipercidae.